UCAGGAAGAAUCGAAAUCGAAAUUGUCUCUACUGGAAGUGAAAGGGUCUUUGUAAAGUAGGGCACGGUCUCAUUCUUCAAGGAUGUGCUAAAUCCUCCACCCGGCGAAAGCAAUAUCCAGAUGUUUUUCGCCUCUGACCGAUAUAGAUUAUUCUGGUGAAAGUGACUUGGAGAACGGAAACUGGAUGAAGAGUAUCCUUUCUGUCUGGCCAUUGUUUCCGAUUUUCAGCUUCCAUCCGUCGAAACAGAUGCUAUUAGAACAAGCUUUACUCUCGCCCGCGGUGCUUGUCACUUUUUUUUUUUUUUUUUUCAUUUUCAAUUUUUAUUCGAACAUCCGGGCGGCAGCCGAAGCUUGUCCCAAGGAACAUCUGUCUUACAGGAAGACCGUUCUAGAAUAGCCAGAUUUGCAUGUGGUCGGCGUUAAUGUGAAAAACGUAAAGCAAGUAAAUUAAAUACUGGCAAACGCAGCGACCGACCAUAGAAACAUCUGUGGAUGACCGAUGGAUGUCGCUUCAACACCUUUCCACUGUCGUAUGUCCUUGUCAAAUUUUGUUUAGUAGAACUGCAAUUAUCUGGAUUGUGGACAUCCGGAAUUCCUGUUAAAUGAACUGUUUGCUUUCCUUUCCAGUUAAAUAAGACAAAAAUAAGUUGAAAUGUUAUCUUGUUUCCAUUUUUUAAAGACCGAAUUUAACCCCCCCUUCCGAUAACGGUACCUGAGCUUUUCAGGUAAGAAUAAUAUUUUAAAUGUUUUUAAUUAAAGCAAAAUUUGGAAGCUGCAUUUAAUAAGAAGGAAAUUUAAUAAUGUAUGUAGUUUUUGAAAUUGCGCCUAUCUUUAUUACGACGAUUCAAAUGAAAUUUAGUAAAUGAAGUGCGUAAUAAAAAUUCUCAAGACUUGAGGUUCAUAUUAUCAACAUAAUUUGACAAAAUAUAGUUCAGCAUUUUUUUCCAAAAUGGUUUUAACUAAAGCAAUGAGGCGAAGUAUUAUUUCAGAAGUUAAUAACACAGACGAAUACUAAACAUAGAACGCUAAAUUUUGUGCGGAAAUUAAGAAUGUGACAUUCAGAAUUGCCGUGAAGUGAUAUUUAUAAUAUACAUAUCAAUAAACCUCAAACACCGUCUUUCUCCAAAAUAUGGUUCCAGGCAACUUUGGUGUACCAUGGAAUUGAUUAUCCCAAAGAAGUAAUAUUCAGUAUGAAUGUCAAUAAAAUAUCCUCUGACAUAAAUAUAUGUUGUUGCCGGUGGCAAUGAAUAAGAUCUUUCAUUUAUCUUUGAUAUCAUAAAAGUGCGUUAUUGAGACCUGCAAUAAGUUAAUCCAAAAUCCCCAACCUUGUCCCCGCGAUCAACAUUGCGCCUGCCGAAGGUUUUACGUGUGCUUGCUGCUCAACGAUAACGAUAAAAAAAUCAUUAAAAAAGUUUUCAAUAAAAUGCAAAAUUUGUUCACAGAUAGCAGUUAAAUAGAGAAAACUUUUACGCAUUAAAAUGCCUCCUUGUACUCGUGCAUUGUGGUGCCACCUACGAAGAGGAAUCCCUUUUGAAUGCGUAUUCUCCUAAAUGCCAUGUUAUAAUUAUUAUUAGUUAUAUGCCCAUGUUCUUUGUAUACGUGUCUCUUUCUUUAUUGUUGGUGUCUUCUACUUCAUUGUUUUUAUAUACUUUGCUAUUUUAAUCCCAAAAUGAGUAACUCAAGUAAAAGAAAAAGAAUCCAUAAAGUUAAUACUGACUGGGAAGAAUCAUAUUGCUUCGCCAAUUCUCUUAAAGAUAUAUGGGUUUGUUUAUUGUGCGGCAAUAGCAGUGCAGUUGCGAAAAAACAUAAUGCUGAACGUCACUUUCAGACAAUUCAUGCCUCAUUUAAUACGACUUAGUCACUUGAAUCUGAAGUAAGAAAGAAAAAAAUAAAUAAAUAAAUCAAAGCAAAGUAAAGUUGUUUAACAGAAAGUUUUUGCUAAGCUUAUGGUAAAAUGUAAAAAUGCUACUAGUAGUUCUCACUGAGAAUAAAAAGCUUUCCAUGAUGGUUAAUUGUCAAGAGAAGCAUUUUUAAGUGGUACCAGUUGAGGGAUUUUCUGAUAAACAUGAGAUUAUGCCAAAUAUACUAAACCGGCAAUUGUCAGAUAACACCGUGACAAGCAAAAGACAUGCAAACUGAGUUAAAGCGUAACU
RNAcentral lists this long non-coding RNA (2153 nucleotides) under Stegodyphus dumicola. RNAcentral describes it as "uncharacterized LOC118201615, transcript variant X1". The record is from RNAcentral. Lineage: Eukaryota; Metazoa; Arthropoda; Arachnida; Araneae; Eresidae.